This 496-nucleotide ribosomal RNA is filed under the name uncultured bacterium. Its description in RNAcentral is "partial 16S ribosomal RNA". It matches the Rfam family "Bacterial small subunit ribosomal RNA", at positions 29 to 507 of the family's 1533-position model. The record is from RNAcentral.
AUGAACGCUGGCGGCGUGCCUAAUACAUGCAAGUCGAGCGAACAGACGAGGAGCUUGCUCCUCUGACGUUAGCGGCAGACGGGUGAGUAACACGUGGAUAACCUACCUAUAAGACUGGGAUAACUUCGGGAAACCGGAGCUAAUACCGGAUAAUAUAUUGAACCGCAUGGUUCAAUAGUGAAAGACGGUUUUGCUGUCACUUAUAGAUGGAUCCGCGCCGCAUUAGCUAGUUGGUAAGGUAACGGCUUACCAAGGCAACGAUGCGUAGCCGACCUGAGAGGGUGAUCGGCCACACUGGAACUGAGACACGGUCCAGACUCCUACGGGAGGCAGCAGUAGGGAAUCUUCCGCAAUGGGCGAAAGCCUGACGGAGCAACGCCGCGUGAGUGAUGAAGGUCUUCGGAUCGUAAAACUCUGUUAUUAGGGAAGAACAAAUGUGUAAGUAACUAUGCACGUCUUGACGGUACCUAAUCAGAAAGCCACGGCUAACUACGUG